Molecule: long non-coding RNA, 361 nt
Organism: Gavialis gangeticus (Gharial)
Lineage: Eukaryota; Metazoa; Chordata; Crocodylia; Gavialidae
Exons: 2
Source: RefSeq, a predicted model, not a curated record
AGGAAGAGGAGCCAGGCACCAGAUUCUGCUUUGGGAAGACGACUGCUCACAUUACAGUAUGGACAAGCAAGAAAACAAGGCCUCUGCCCUGAGGAACUGAUUAUAUAAGUAAGUCAUCUCUUAGAAGACAAACCAUCACCAGGGCACAGCUAGGGUGUGGGGACGGCAAAAUGCGAGGAAAGAGGAACGUUCUCUUCUCACAUUAUUCGGAUUCUAUUUCACUAUUGUUAUUCUCAUUGUCAUUAAACCCCAUUCCUUCCAUUAUUGUAUCAACAUGUCCCCAACCGAAGAAAUCAGGAUUUUUCUUCUGAACACAAAGAAAUCAUAUUUAAAGAUCAAUAAAACCAGAAUAGCAGUAGCA